Molecule: long non-coding RNA, 1916 nt
Organism: Arachis duranensis
Lineage: Eukaryota; Viridiplantae; Streptophyta; Magnoliopsida; Fabales; Fabaceae
Exons: 4
Source: RefSeq, a predicted model, not a curated record
CUAACCCUAAUUGAAUCCACAUCUUCCCUUCCCUAACGGCAAACCCUAGCUGCACACACAACACACACACCAUACCAUAGUAGCAGCAGCAGCCGCAAACCCCCUUUUCUCCCAAAACGUAGACACACACAAAAAAAAGGGGAGGAGGGCUUCUGAGAGAGCUGAGGGGAAGAGAGGGAGCUUCACCAGCGCCGUCAUCACUGGCAUCUCACUACCGUCGCUGGGGAGACUGCACGCCUUCGAGGUUCCUGCCGCCGCCUUGGAGUCCGCCGUCAGGUCGAGUCGAAGAAAGAGAGAGGCGCGGGGUCAGUGUCACGACCAGAGGCAAGAUCUGAGAGAGAAGGAAGAGAAGGCCGUGCUCCUGCCACAGUCCACCACGUCUUGCCUGCGCCGUCAUUCACGCUCAUCGCCGUCCAGCCGUCGGCGCGAGCUUGUUGCCGUCGGGGAGGAGUUGGUGUCGCAGGCGAGAGGGAGAGAACAGUGCGGGAGGAAGAGAACGCGAUGGAAGAGAGGGAUCUUGUCACCGUCAGUCUAUGGCUGCCACUGCUAGGACUUGUCGCGAAGCCAUGAUCGUGGCUGAGCUACCGCCGUCGCUGUGAAGACUCCGCCGCUUCCUUUGUUGAUGUUGGGGAGAAAAACACCGGAAUGGGUGAGUAGGAGGAGGGGUUCUGCCACCGUUGGAGCUCCGUUGUUGUUGCUGUUAUGGCCACCGUGCCUCUGGCUGCCGGGAGCGGUAUUGUGGCUGCCGGAACCCCUGUCUUCUGGGUUGACUUCCGAUAUUGUGCGUCGAAAUUUAGGUUGCUGUUGAGCCACUGGAGCUUCCGGCCGCUACCGGAGCUGUUGCUGGGUCAGUUCGGAAUUGCAACUGCUUCAUUUUGUUAUUUCGAGUCGGUGUGGUUGUUGAGAAAGCGGUUUGGGAGCUGAGGUUGUGACUAUCACCAUUGCGGGCCAAGAGAGAAGGAGUUGUGGCGCGUUUUUGAGUUUUCAAGUUUCGACAAUCGAGGAUAUGGACGCAGAAGUCACGAAGAGUUUAUCUAGUUGUUGUCAUGAUAUUUUGUAUUGCUUUGGUUAUUGCUUAUUGUUCCCUCGCCUUUAUCUUUAUACAUUCUGUAAGAGGGAUAGGAAUUUUAUUGGUUAAUGUUUGUAAAGUUAUGUAAUAUAUAUAUACAUAUGUAUGUGCUCUUUGUGAGUUUUUGUAAGUUGUAUUGUAUAUAUGGAUGUAUGUUGCAUAGUAGAAGUAUUUGGAGUUGUAUUUCGGUUUAAAGUUUUAAACAGGCUCAUAUUUUAGUAUUAAAUAGUAUAAGAAUCGUCGUAAUGUCCGAGCUAUCAAAGUCGCGCAGCCGGAAGCAUGUGCUUUGGUAGUUAGGGUGUUACAAGUGUACCUGAUAUGAGAAUUCUCUUUGCAAUUUCCAGUGAGAAUCAAGUGGCCUUUGCAAGAACAUGCUAAGUAGGAGGUCAACCAACCUCCAUGUAUAGUUCUUCAUUAUCAAAGCUACAUAUUCCUCUUCAAUAUCUACUUUCCAAUGGGAUCUAGCCAAAACCUUUGCAACUAUUUUUGUAGCUUUAUGUGUUAGCUCAGUUGAGUUUGAGGUUGUUGCAGUAAAGGUUUUUGUCUUAAAAAUACAACUCUUGCUUCUAGUCUGCACAUAGCAUGUUGUUUUCAAAAGUUAAAAGUGGUUAGUGGUGCCUUCUUGUGAUAUCAAUAUGUAAGUGUUAGCAAAAUUAACAAUAUUUAAGGUGGUUGGUAUUCUUGGCCUGAUAACAACCUGCAGCAAUGACACUACUUCAACUGAACAUGGAUUCAUAACUUCAUUAGUAACAAAGGUAACAGAUGCAAAAAACAAUGAAUUUGAUAUAACAUUGGUAAUAUUGGAAGAUGAAUCAUGCAUAUCUAUCGAUGCAUGACAGAGGAAAAA